GAAGGGCAGCACCCUGAAUCACUAAGAUUCCUUCAAGGCCAGCAGCCUUGGGACUUCAGUUCACUAAGAACUCUUCAAGGCCAGCAGCCUUGGAACUCCUCUAGUUCCCUAGGAACUCUUCAAGCCCAGCAGGCUUGGAACUUCGUUUAGUCUCUCCGGACAAGGACCCCUCAGGCCCUGGCUUCAUUUAGUCCCUUCGGACAAGGACCCCUCAGGCUCUGGCUUCUGUUGAGUUGUUUGUUUGUUGGAGUUGGUGCUGAGCUGCUAAGAUGUCUUCAUGCUCUGAACAUCUUCUAUACUUCGCAACUUGACGUGAUCAUCCUUGAAGUGAAGUUGAGUGUUGCAUAAUGCUCAGCUUCUUCAGUUACUCAGCCACUUCGGAUGAUCCCUUGAUGACUGCCUUGAAGAUCUUUCCUCUUGAUACAUGAUGGCUGCACAUGAUAGGUUUCCAAGAUGACUGUAAGUUCUUCUGCUAGGUACUUAGAAACUUUCUCAUACUUGCCACCAUGAUGACGUUUGCGAUCUCCCUUCUUGAUACUUGAUGUCUUCUCAUGAUGGACUUGCUAAGAUGACUGUGAGCUCUUCUCUAUUGUACUUAGAGUCUUCCCAUGAUGGACACCAAGAUGACAUGAUGCUCUUCUUUCUCUCGGCAGUUUAGAACACUCUUCUUGUAGUAGAAUUCUCACUUCUACAUAGUAGAACUCUCACUUCCACUUCUUCCUUUGCAUGUAUCUGAGUGUUCUUGGUGGAUCGUAGAGUGAGCCAUCGGACUCACUAUUUCACAUGGUUUAUAAUAGCCUACCGUUACUCCAAACUCAGAAACUCCAGCAACCUUUUAUCUUUGAAGCUCUUCCUGAUUUAUACUCCUUCACAAUCCUUCCGUUGGAAAGUAGCCGUUGAAGGCUAUUCAAAUAUCUUCACAGAUCUCGAGUUGACAGAGGUAAACUGAUGAUGUGACAUGUCAUACUUUAUCUGACAUUGCAGUCUACUGUUUCACCUAUCCCAUUAGAGUUGUCACUUUAAUGUCUUGGGCAGGUCGAAGACUUUAUUUCCUCCUUCUGAUUUCUCGAUCAGAGGUUGUCCUUUUGCAUCGAUGCUCUCAAUAAGAUUUUGUCCAAAUACCAUCCUUCAGUUUGAACCGUUGCCAAUGCUUCAAUCUUCGGGUGUUCAAACUCUACGAUUCUGAUGCUUGUAUUCUUGGACCUAAUCGUAGUGUCUUGUUGAGUGUUGCUCAUUGACUGGUAGAGUUAACACUACGAUCUUGAAGAGUGUUGAUUGGAUCUCCAAUGUAGUACACCUCUUCCUUCCAUUGUGCAGUGCUUCAACACUUGUGUUUGCUUCGACUGUUCUUAGAGACUGAUGGCCUAACUCCUUGCUCUGGUCCCCUCCGAAUAGCAAGACACUUCAGAUUUGUGGCGUGUCCAGCUCGCUUUCUCCUUGUGAUCUCUCGUUCACUUAUCAUCAAUGGACUGACCCUACGCUUAAUCACUUUAUGUGACGCCCCCAAAAUUAGGUAUACAUCACCCAUCUUGAGUCGCCAAAUACAUGGUACAGAAUUCAAAUAAAACUUAAUAAUACAACUGUCGUGUACAAUACGACAAAACAUAAACUGUGAGUUUGAAUACAAAUAUUGUCUACUAGAGAUUAUACAAACUCAAAAGGAG
This 1664-nucleotide long non-coding RNA is filed under the name Panax ginseng (ginseng). RNAcentral's name for it is "long non-coding RNA (PGIN_LNC006282)". The record is from RNAcentral. Lineage: Eukaryota; Viridiplantae; Streptophyta; Magnoliopsida; Apiales; Araliaceae.